CUGAAGAGUCAAGCCUGCUGUGGCCACAAACCCAAUCAGAGUCCUCAUCCAACAUCUUUGCAGAUCUAUUUACAGGGAGAAGGCUGAGAUGUUCAAAGCACUCAUCCUGAGGGCCUUGCUUGUUCCUUGAAGUAAGAAGACAAAAGAGGUCACAAAGAUGAGAGUGGAAGUAAGAUGUGAGGAGUGAACACGAUGCUGAUUUAGAAUAAGAGGGAUGAGAGCCAGAGCGAACCAAGGUUGGGUUGAUGUCUUCCAGCUGGAAGCCUGGAAGGAAGGUCCUGAGAACCUUUACAGACGAAAGCAUCAUUCCAGCAGAACACACUGGGUGAACACUCUGCCAGACCAUCUUCCUUGCGAUAGGUGCCAUGAACCCUCUGAGAGUGUGUAUAAAGGGUAACAUCACUCCAGACCAUGUUUGGGGGCCAAGAUCAGAGCUCUACUCCCCAGCAUCUGAGAAGAUCUCAACCUCAUAGAUCCUGACCAUGGCCUGGUUUGUACUUUCUUCCUCUGCCAGGCCUUUAAUCACAGAAUACAGUUUAACCAAAGUCUCUUUACAUUUCUCCUUUGUGGAUUGCCUUUUCAAUUAAAUGGUAUUGUAAGAACAUCAACUAUUCAGGCUUCCUAGAGAACUGGGUAGCCAGGAGGACUGAAAAGUUAUCAAAGUAUGGCAAAAACCUGAGCAAGUGUGUAAGGUCUCUGUGAAUUGUGAAGGCAAC
This 716-nucleotide long non-coding RNA is filed under the name Ursus maritimus (polar bear). RNAcentral's name for it is "lncRNA (ENSUMAG00000006453.1)". The record is from RNAcentral. Lineage: Eukaryota; Metazoa; Chordata; Mammalia; Carnivora; Ursidae.